Molecule: ribosomal RNA, 891 nt
Filed under: uncultured bacterium
Lineage: Bacteria
Description: bacterial SSU rRNA
Rfam family: Bacterial small subunit ribosomal RNA
Source: RNAcentral
AGAGUUUGAUCCUGGCUCAGGAUGAACGCUGGCGGCGUGCCUAAUACAUGCAAGUCGAGCGAAGGAUGUAGCAAUAUAUCUUUAGCGGCGAACGGGUGAGUAACGCGUUGGUGACCUGCCUCGAAGCGUGGGAUAACAGUUCGAAAGGAUUGCUAAUACCGCAUGUGGUUGAAGAGAUUAGAAGCUUUCCAACUAAAGGAGAAAUUCACUUCGAGAGGGGCCUGCGUCCCAUCAGCUAGUUGGUAAGGUAACGGCUUACCAAGGCUAUGACGGGUAGGGGACCUGAGAGGGUGGCCCCCCACAAUGGAACUGAAACACGGUCCAUACACCUACGGGUGGCAGCAGUAGGGAAUAUUGCAUAAUGGGCGAAAGCCUGAUGCAGCAACGCCGCGUGUGCGAUGAAGGCCUUCGGGUCGUAAAGCACUUUUAGAGAGGAUGAGGAAGGACAGUACUCUCUGAAUAAGCCUCGGCUAACUACGUGCCAGCAGCCGCGGUAAAACGUAGGAGGCGAGCGUUAUCCGGAUUUACUGGGCGUAAAGCGCGUGCAGGCGGUAAGGAAAGUUGGAUGUGAAAGCUCCUGGCUUAACUGGGAGAGGUCGUUCAAAACUACCUAACUAGAGUGUGGGAGAGGGAGGUGGAAUUCCGGGUGUAGUGGUGAAAUGCGUAGAUAUCUGGAGGAACACCGGUGGCGAAAGCGGCUUACUGGACCGUCUCUGACGCUGAGGUGCGAAAGCUAGGGGAGCGAACGGGAUUAGAUACCCCGGUAGUCCUAGCCGUAAACGAUGGGCACUAGGCAAUGGGCCACCUAUGGGGCUCAUUGCCGUAGCUAAUGUGUUAAGUGCCCCGCCUGGGGAGUACGCUCGCAAGGGUAAAACUCAAAGGAAUUGACGG